Molecule: ribosomal RNA, 253 nt
Filed under: uncultured bacterium
Lineage: Bacteria
Description: partial 16S ribosomal RNA
Rfam family: Bacterial small subunit ribosomal RNA
Source: RNAcentral
UACAGAGGUCUCAAGCGUUGUUCGGAUUCAUUGGGCGUAAAGGGUGCGUAGGCGGCGCGGUAAGUCGGGUGUGAAAUCUUGGAGCUUAACUUCGAAACUGCAUUCGAUACUGCCGUGCUUGAGGACUGGAGAGGAGACUGGAAUUUACGGUGUAGCGGUGAAAUGCGUAGAUAUCGUAAGGAAGACCAGUGGCGAAGGCGGGUCUCUGGACAGUUCCUGACGCUGAGGCACGAAGGCCAGGGGAGCAAACGGG